AAACACGAAUUCAUAAACAAUGCAUCAAUCUCAUACCCGCCCAUCGUGAUCCUUAUCUAUUAUAAUAUAAUUCAUUACUUUUUAUAUAGCUAAACACUAAAAUUGUUCUUUCCAUUGUCCCUCUAGUUUCUUAAUUAUUAACCUACAAAAUUUUUAAUUUGUUUUUUGUAGAUGACUAUAGAUGGGCUGCAUGUUGAAGAUUGAAUAAGUCCCGGGCUUUUUUACCUCAAAUUGUUGGGCUUCUCUGUUCUACUGAGGUUGAGUGGGUGCACCUUUAGAGGAAGUAAGAAAAAUCCAUCUUCACGAUUGCUCUAGAGAUUGAAUUGGCGUAUGACAUGGGAUUUUAUAUGGAUAUGAAAGGAGAUUGUUAAUAUUAUGAAAGCUUCGAUGUCCAUGUGAUAAUGACUUAAUAUUGAGUUAUUUUGAGUUGCACUUAAUUACCUAAUGGGCUGAUAUUUUUAUGUUGUAUUAUAUAUAAGAGUUUCUAUGUACCUUCCCAAUGUAAACUGCGAGAUGUGUUUCUGCUUCUUCGCCAACUUUCUGUAUGGUUACGUUGGCAUACAUAGGAGACGCGUAGGUACAACUUCUCAAUCUCGCAAGUUUAGAAAGCAAGAGAAUGCUCGAUCCAUCAGGCUCUGUAAUAUUUGGAGGAGAUAUAUCAAGGUGUCCAAAAGUAAUAGCUUACAAGAAUAUGAAAGUUUAUCUGUGACGCGUGGUAUAUCUCUCGCGUAGACCAAAAAAGGAAAGACGCUGAUUCGUGUAGAGCUUAUGGAGGAUCAAAACGGACAGUCUCAGAUCACUAGUUUAGAAAAACGGAGACUCAACAUAUCAAAAAGAGAACAAAACUAAUACAUAGUAUAUAUGUAAAUGUUAUGUUCUUUAGCUAAUAUUGGUAACCUAAGUGUCAAUGGAUCAAGUAUAUAUUUGCCUUGAAAAAACAUGCAACAGCUAGAUUGGAUGGCAAUAGCUCUGAGGAAUGAUGAUCUAGGAGAGAUAUCCAUGUUAUGUUCUUUAUAUUAAACACUACUUGGGCGUUCCGAUUUGCAAACAAUAUAUUUGUGCUCUAGUGGUACAAAUAAAUUAUUUUAUUAUUGUUCACUAUUCUCAACAUCAUAUAUAGAAUCUACAAACAACUGAUUGAAUAAAUAAUUUGAGGUCUUAUUAGAUAA
Molecule: small RNA, 1169 nt
Filed under: Arabidopsis thaliana (thale cress)
Lineage: Eukaryota; Viridiplantae; Streptophyta; Magnoliopsida; Brassicales; Brassicaceae
Description: ATSL257380
Source: RNAcentral